Molecule: ribosomal RNA, 331 nt
Filed under: uncultured eukaryote
Lineage: Eukaryota
Description: partial 18S ribosomal RNA
Rfam family: Eukaryotic small subunit ribosomal RNA
Source: RNAcentral
CCCUUAGAUGUUCUGGGCCGCACGCGCGCUACACUGACGAAGUCAGCGAGCAUGUCCUACGCCGACAGGUGCGGGGAAUCUUGUCAAACUUCGUCGUGAUGGGGAUUGAUUAUUGAAAUUCUUGAUCACCAACGAGGAAUUCCUAGUAAGCGCAAGUCAGCAGCUUGCGUUGAUUACGUCCCUGCCCUUUGUACACACCGCCCGUCGCUACUACCGAUUGAAUGGUUUAGUGAGAUCUUCGGAUUGGCGCCACUGCGGCUCAGCAAUGGGCUCGGUGGAUGCCGAAAAGUUGAUCAAACUUGAUCAUUUAGAGGAAGUAAAAGUCGUAACA